UCUGAGUCAUUUCCUGUGACUACACGAUGCCUCAGAUAUUCUGAAUUGGGACUAGGAAAGACCUUUGGUGUCCGAGACAUUCAAUGAUUGCAUUUUAUUGCUUUUGUCCCCUCUUUUGGUAGUUCCAUUUCCAAUUUUGUAAUUAAGAAUUUAAUAUUUUGCUUUGCAGGAACAAUCACGUAUGCUUUCCUCCGAAAGCUGAGCUGUUGCGGAGCAGAAGCUCACCCGGUGCAGAGUGGUCUUUUCACACAAUCCUGGCUGUUUUGGAGACAGUGUUGAAAAGGGCUCACUCAAGACUGGCCUCAAAAGCCAGGCACAAACUGACGUGCAGGACUGAGAUCUGCAGCUUUACGCUGGUUCGUGCUGUGACCCGGGUCUGACGUCAACGGGGGCGAAGCAGCUCACCAGAACCGCGAUCAGGAAUGAUAAAAUUAAUGUUCUCAGCUCCAGAAGAACUGGGAGAUGCCCCAAGGCAGCCUUGCCAUAUUGGUCUUUCUCUUCAGAUGCACUUAUAUGGAAAAAAAUAGGCAAAUUAUACUAAAGAAGUUAUCUGAAAAAAAGAUCUCAACUCACUUUGGUGGUAUUGGGCAUAAAGCUUUUUUAUAGAGUUAAUAUAUCUGAGGAAACGUCUCAGACUGUCAGUAGAAGAGGAUGUAGAGAAAAUGGACUAAUUCCUCUGUGACUUGCUACCAGAGCAAGGGCAUCCACCCACCUCUUGUGGAGGAACUCAAAUACGGGACACUUGAACUGCUCAGUGUGAUCCCUAGCCAGUCAUUUAACUUAGCUGUUGUGAAGGAGAAUAGAGGGUCACAAAUAAAAAAAACAGUCUUCCAAAGAGGCUCCAAGCAUGGCCUGGGAACUAUAGACCAGUAUGUCUAACUUCCGUGCCAAAUAAAUCAGUAGAAACUGUAAUAAAGAACAGUAGUAGACGUGGUUAAGUUUGAUAUAUUUGGGAAGAGUCAACCUGACUUUUGCAAAGUGAACUCAUGACUCACAAAUCCAUUAAGAGUUCUUUGAAAGUGUAAACAAGCGUACAGGUGAGACUGGUCCAGUCGGUGUCAUAUACAUGGAUUUUUCCAAGAGCUUCCAACAAGACUCUCCUAUAAGUUUUAAGAUAAAUUAACUGCUCAUGGGGUAGAUGGCAGGGACCGAAUGCCCUAGGAAUCGUAACAGAUUGGAAGAGGGAGAUAAGAGCUGCUUCCACCGGUGCCAAAACGUGACUCUGCCUCUCUGCGCUGGCCUGGUCCCCCGAACGGUGCCGGUGCGGCCGGGCACCAGCUGGACCCAGAGCCUCUCCGGGGGAUGUCGGCUCCUGACGUGAC
Dromaius novaehollandiae (emu) is the source of this 1322-nucleotide long non-coding RNA. RefSeq lists it as uncharacterized. The transcript has 3 exons. The record is from RefSeq and is a predicted model, not a curated record. NCBI's taxonomy places the organism in Eukaryota, Metazoa, Chordata, Aves, Casuariiformes, Dromaiidae.